AACGCGUGAGAAUCUGCCUCUAGGACGGGGACAACAGAAGGAAACUUCUGCUAAUCCCGGAUGAGCCGUAAGGUUAAAGAUUUAUCGCCUAGAGAUGAGCUCGCGUCUGAUUAGCUAGUUGGUGUGGUAAAGGCACACCAAGGCAACGAUCAGUAGCUGGUCUGAGAGGAUGAUCAGCCACACUGGGACUGAGACACGGCCCAGACUCCUACGGGAGGCAGCAGUGGGGAAUUUUCCGCAAUGGGCGAAAGCCUGACGGAGCAAGACCGCGUGGGGGAGGAAAGCCUUUGGGUUGUAAACCCCUUUUCUCAGGGAAGAAGAAAGUGACGGUACCUGAGGAAUCAGCCUCGGCUAACUCCGUGCCAGCAGCCGCGGUAAUACGGAGGAGGCAAGCGUUAUCCGGAAUGAUUGGGCGUAAAGCGUCCGCAGGUGGCUCUUCAAGUCUGCUGUCAAAUCCAGUAGCUUAACUCCUGAUGGGCAGUGGAAACUGAGCAGCUAGAGUGCGGUAGGGGCAGAGGGAAUUCCCGGUGUAGCGGUGAAAUGCGUAGAGAUCGGGAAGAACACCGGUGGCGAAAGCGCUCUGCUGGGCCGCAAC
RNAcentral lists this ribosomal RNA (595 nucleotides) under uncultured Lyngbya sp. Its description in RNAcentral is "bacterial SSU rRNA". It matches the Rfam family "Bacterial small subunit ribosomal RNA", at positions 112 to 740 of the family's 1533-position model. Lineage: Bacteria; Bacillati; Cyanobacteriota; Cyanophyceae; Oscillatoriales; Microcoleaceae. The record is from RNAcentral.